CCUACGGGGUGCAGCAGUGAGGAAUAUUGGUCAAUGGACGGGAGCCUGAACCAGCCAAGUCGCGUGAGGGAUGACGGCCCUAUGGGUUGUAAACCUCUUUUGUCGGGGAACAAAGUGCCGCACGUAUGCGGUUUUGUGUGUACCCUAUGAAAAAGCAUCGGCUAACUCCGUGCCAGCAGCCGCGGUAAUACGGAGGAUUCGAGCGUUAUCCGGAUUUAUUGGGUUUAAAGGGAGCGUAGGCGGUUGCUUAAGUCCGGUGUGAAAGUUUGCGGCUCAACCGUACCAUUGCGGUUGAAACUGGGUGUCGUGAGUGUGGGAGAGGUAGACGGAAUUCGUGGUGUAGCGGUGAAAUGCUUAGAUAUCACGAAGAACUCCGAUUGCGAAGGCAGCAUACCGG
This 397-nucleotide ribosomal RNA is filed under the name uncultured bacterium. RNAcentral's name for it is "partial 16S ribosomal RNA". It matches the Rfam family "Bacterial small subunit ribosomal RNA", at positions 338 to 732 of the family's 1533-position model. The record is from RNAcentral.